ACUGCUCAGUAACACGUAGUCAACAUGCCCAAGGGACGUGGAUAACCUCGGGAAACUGAGGAUAAACCGCGAUAGGCCAAGAUUUCUGGAAUGGAUCAUGGCUGAAAUCUAUAUGGCCCUUGGAUUGGACUGCGGCCGAUCAGGCUGUUGGUGAGGUAAUGGCCCACCAAACCUAUAACCGGUACGGGCUUUGAGAGAAGGAGCCCGGAGAUGGGCACUGAGACAAGGGCCCAGGCCCUAUGGGGCGCAGCAGGCGCGAAAACUCUGCAAUAGGCGAAAGCUUGACAGGGUUACUCUGAGUGAUGCCCGCUAAGGGCAUCUUUUGGUACCUCUAAAAAUGGUGCAGAAUAAGGGGUGGGCAAGUCUGGUGUCAGCCGCCGCGGUAAUACCAGCACCCCGAGUGGUCGGGACGAUUAUUGGGCCUAAAGCAUCCGUAGCCGGUUCUGCAAGUCUUCCGUUAAAUCCAUCUGCUUAACAGAUGGGCUGCAGAGGAUACUAUAGAGCUAGGAGGCGGGAGAGGCAAGCGGUACUUAGUGGGUAGGGGUAAAAUCCGUUGAUCCACUGAAGACCACCAGUGGCGAAGGCGGCUUGCCAGAACGCACUCGACGGUGAGGGAUGAAAGCUGGGGGAGCAAACCGGAUUAGAUACCCGGGUAGUCCCAGCUGUAAACGAUGCAGACUCGGUGAUGAAUAGGCUUCGUGCCUAUUCAGUGCCGCAGGGAAGCCGUUAAGUCUGCCGCCUGGGGAGUACGGUCGCAAGACUGAAACUUAAAGGAAUUGGCGGGGGAG
Molecule: ribosomal RNA, 788 nt
Filed under: uncultured archaeon
Lineage: Archaea
Description: bacterial SSU rRNA
Rfam family: Archaeal small subunit ribosomal RNA
Source: RNAcentral